GUUUUCCUGGGAUGCUCGACAAUCCUAUUAUUUUGAACCUACAUCUAUUUUUAAGGGAUUCCAAGAUCGCAAGUUGGAUGUCAGACCUCUCGUCGUGGUAGGCAGAAUACUUGUUGAGGAAACCCACCUAGCUUCAGUGCUAGGCGUCAAAAGAUAGGACCGGCAUUUUGGGACACUC
Molecule: non-coding RNA, 178 nt
Filed under: Blautia hydrogenotrophica
Lineage: Bacteria; Bacillati; Bacillota; Clostridia; Lachnospirales; Lachnospiraceae
Also listed under: 1 other name
Description: 6S RNA
Rfam family: 6S / SsrS RNA
About the family: E. coli 6S RNA was the first non coding RNA to be sequenced, but its function was unknown until recently. It consists of 184 nucleotides that fold into an extended hairpin structure with a large single-stranded internal bulge.
Source: RNAcentral